GACGAACGCUGGCGGCGUGCUUAACACAUGCAAGUCGAACGGAAAGGCCCCUUUGGGGGUACUCGAGUGGCGCACGGGGGAGUAAAACGUGAGUAACCUGCCCUUGACUUGGGGAUAACUUCAGGAAACUGGGGCUAAUACCGGAUAGGAAUCCUAGCGGCAUGGUGGGGGUUGGAAAGCUUCGGCGGUGUUGGAUGGACUCGCGGCGUAUCAGCUUGUUGGUGGGGUAGUGGCUUACCAAGGCUUUGACGGGUAGCCGGCCUGAGAGGGCGACCGGCCACAUUGGGACUUAGAUACGGCCCAGACUCCUACGGGUGGCAGCAGUGGGGAAUAUUGCUCAAUGGGCGGAAGCCUGAUGCAGCAACGCCGCGUGCGGUAUGACGGCCUUCGGGUUGUAAACCGCUUUCAGCAGGGGCGAAGCUUGUGGUGACGUUACCUGCAGAAGAAGCACCGGCUAACUACGUG
This 465-nucleotide ribosomal RNA is filed under the name uncultured bacterium. RNAcentral's name for it is "partial 16S ribosomal RNA". It matches the Rfam family "Bacterial small subunit ribosomal RNA", at positions 28 to 507 of the family's 1533-position model. The record is from RNAcentral.